UUCAAAAUUUCUCAUUUCCUUGAUAGGAAACUAAUUUAGAAUUCUUUGUAAACGAGACUUUUGUCGUCCUUCGUUAUUCGUGAGCCUGUGAUUCCAUUGGUCAGCAAAAAGGAAAAAAGCAUCGUCUAAAUUUAAGUUUGGAAAUAUCCAAAGAAAAGAUGUGGUGUUUGAACAAUAUAAACUUGACGUGUGACUCGGAGAGAUGGUCAACAAAUCGCCUUCAAGGAAUGAAACAACGAAGAAAUCGAAGGGGAAUUAAUUAAGUCUUGACUCCAACUAAUCUCAUUGGAUUGAUAAUCUGCAGUAUUGACGUCACUAUCGUCAUGAUAACGGGGAAAUUAUUCGAAGAUCGUGCUUUUCUGAAGAAAUUUAUCGCAGGGGGGAAACGUGAUAGCUUCAGCUUUGAUGAUGUGAAUUCCAAGCCAAUCUGUCUAGGUAUCCCAAUACACACCUUGAAGAGAGACCCAACGUCUGCUGCUCCAUCAGUAUCCAGUGAACUACCAAACAUUUGCUCCACUUCACAUUCAUUUAACGGGAAGACACGCCGACAAGAAUGAGGAUAUCAGAGAAGAGAAAGAACAUUCUCUCUUGUGAGCCACGCUUGCAAGCCUGCAACAAGCAAAGAAGUUUCAAGAUUAUAUUAGAUCCCACAGCAUGACCAAGCUAGCUUGCACUGGAAUCCAAAGUGCAGUGAAAUAAUCUCCUACUUACAGUUGUCAGGGUGUGUAGCUGUUGCUGGUAAGUCUUUUCUGUGGUGAAUAUCUCAUUAAUAACCUUCUUGCGCUUCCUAGCCAUUAUUUGGGCUUGCAGUAUGCCAUUCAUUUCCUUUGACAAGGCCUGUCCUGUCUGAGACACUUGCAAAGACAGGAACUUUUUGGCACUACGCACUGUAUUGACAAAAUGGUGAUCAGUAAUACACAUGUACUCGUAAUGAAUUCAAUACAGUCAACUCUUGUUACAGUGGACACCCUCGGGACCGUCACUUCAUGUCCGUAUUAGCGAGCGUCCGCAAUAGCGAGUUUUUCUACGCUCAUUUCUUUGUCAGUAUUUUUGUCGGGGAUUUUUCUCCUGUCCGUAAUAGCAAGGUGUCUGUAAUAUUGGGGUGUCCGCAAGGCGAGAGUUCACUGUAUUUAGUUUAUAUUUUGAUUAGGCUUUUAUCUUGUAAAGCACAUUGAAACUGUUUUGGAAUGCCCUUAUUAUUAUUAUUAUAAUUAGUAUAAUAAUAAUAAUUAUUAUUGAUAUUAUUAUUAAUAUUAAGGAGUAAUCAACUUUGCAUGAGCAUGUCUCUGUCCUCUGAUAUAAACAUGGUAUAUGUAGCCAGCCAAUCAUUGCGUUUGUAAUAAUUAAAUAUUUUAUAAAUAGUCUGAUAUACAUCUUUGGGCUCCCUGUGAAUUUUGCAUGACCAAAAAAGUAAGAGUUAGUUACCGAGAACGGAGGUAAUAAGCCAUAUACAUCCCGAGGGCCACAGGCCCGAGGGAUGUAUAUGGCUUAUUGCUGACGUUCGAGGUAACUAACUAUUUUAGUUAUCAAUUAAGAAGGUUUUCUAUAAUAUUCUGAUGUUAGACUUUUAAGAUAAUGAAAAUAAAAAGAAUUUUAAAAAAUA
Molecule: long non-coding RNA, 1603 nt
Filed under: Actinia tenebrosa (Australian red waratah sea anemone)
Lineage: Eukaryota; Metazoa; Cnidaria; Anthozoa; Actiniaria; Actiniidae
Description: uncharacterized LOC116301479, transcript variant X1
Source: RNAcentral